RNAcentral lists this ribosomal RNA (966 nucleotides) under Scytinostroma portentosum. RNAcentral describes it as "Vararia portentosa partial 28S large subunit ribosomal RNA". It matches the Rfam family "Eukaryotic large subunit ribosomal RNA", at positions 20 to 980 of the family's 3401-position model. Lineage: Eukaryota; Fungi; Basidiomycota; Agaricomycetes; Russulales; Lachnocladiaceae. The record is from RNAcentral.
GAAGUACCCGGCUGGAACUUAAGCAUAUCAAUAAGCGGAKSMWWWKUARACUAACAAGGAUUCCCCUAGUAACUGCGAGUGAAGCGGGAAGAGCUCAAAUUUAAAAUCUGGCAGUGUAAAAGCUGUCCGAGUUGUAAUUUCGAGAAGUGUUUUCUGUGCCAGACCGUGUACAAGUCUCCUGGAAUGGGGCGUCAUAGAGGGUGAGAAUCCCGUCUWUGACACGGAAUUCAUAUGGUGCUCUGUGAUACACUCUCAAAGAGUCGAGUUGUUUGGGAAUGCAGCUCAAAAUGGGUGGUGAACUCCAUCUAAAGCUAAAUAUUGGCGAGAGACCGAUAGCGAACAAGUACCGUGAGGGAAAGAUGAAAAGCACUUUGGAAAGAGAGUGAAACAGUACGUGAAAUUGCUGAAAGGGAAACGCUUGAAGUCAGUCGCAUUUGCCAGAAUUCAACUGUCACUUGUUGGCAGUGUACUUUCUUGGUGAAUGGGCCAGCAUCACUUUUGGCUCGCUGGACAAGGGCAGGAGAAAUGUGGCACUCUUUUAUUAGGGUGUGUUAUAGUCUUCUGUCAUAUACAGUGGCUGGGAGUGAGGACCGCCUUUAUUGUAGGAUGCUGGCGUAAUGGCUUUAAUCGACCCGUCUUGAAACACGGACCAAGGAGUCUAACAUGCAUGCGAGUGUUUGGGUGGUUAAAACUCAUGCGCGCAAUGAAAGUGAACAGUGGGGAAGGCUGUCAUGGCCUGCACCCAUGCCUGGACUUGAGAUUUAUCGACGGUUCUACGGUCGAGCAUGUAUGUUGGGACCCGAAAGAUGGUGAACUAUGCCUGAAUAGGGUGAAGCCAGAGGAAACUCUGGUGGAGGCUCGUAGCGAUUCUGACGUGCAAAUCGAUCGUCAAAUUUGGGUAUAGGGGCGAAAGACUAAUCGARSCWKCURGYARCUGGUUCCUGCCGAAGUUUCCCCUCCAGGAAA